This is a non-coding RNA of Xyrichtys novacula (pearly razorfish), 666 nucleotides long. The record is from the annotation of a GenBank genome assembly. Lineage: Eukaryota; Metazoa; Chordata; Actinopteri; Labriformes; Labridae.
UGGGAACCCAAAAAUUAAAUUGUGUAUCUUACUUGAGGUUAUUUAAAGAUUUCAUAUUUAGAAUAGAUUCUCAUUUGUCAGUGGUUACACCUCUGCUCUCAACAGAUGGCAUGUUAUGAUGUCCAGUACAAGGCCAGAACAAUCUCAGAGCAGAUGGAAAAAAUUAAAGGAAAAUCAAAGAAAACCAUCAUCUGUGGUGGCAAUGACACCAAAAAAUUAUGGGUAACAUGACACUUUGAACACCAGGCUUCUUUGUCCUGCAACAAGGAAUGCAACAAACCUAUGAGGUAGAAUAAUUAAAAAACAGCAAAAAUGUUUUUUUUCACCAAAUAUUCAAAACCAAAUCAUUACACUAAUUGUUUUUCCACUGAAUGCAAAGUGUUUGAAUGUGAGAGCACAGGUGUAAAUUGGUAUAUCAUUUACUCAGCUGCUUCAGACCACAUUUUUUAGGGCAAAUGAACAGCCAUUGAUUGUUGAGGCAAUACUUGUGCAUAUCCAACUUCAACCAAAAUGUCCAUAACAGACACCUGAAUGUGUUUGAUGAUUCAGUUUUAGCAAAUGUGUUUUUCUUUUUUUUUCCCCCAUAUCAGUAACAGGAAUAGACCCAACAACCAGAGGUCCUUAAAAACAGACAUGCAUCCAUACAUUUUAUUUAUUUAAGUUAUG